CCUACGGGAGGCAGCAGUGGGGAAUAUUGGACAAUGGGGGCAACCCUGAUCCAGCCAUGCCGCGUGUGUGAAGAGGGCCCUCGGGUUGUAAAGCACUUUCAGUGAGGAAGAACGCCUGGUGGUUAAUACCCAUCAGGAAAGACAUCACUCACAGAAGAAGCACCGGCUAACUCCGUGCCAGCAGCCGCGGUAAUACGGAGGGUGCGAGCGUUAAUCGGAAUUACUGGGCGUAAAGCGCGCGUAGGUGGCUUGAUAAGCCGGUUGUGAAAGCCCCGGGCUCAACCUGGGAACGGCAUCCGGAACUGUCAAGCUAGAGUGCAGGAGAGGAAGGUAGAAUUCCCGGUGUAGCGGUGAAAUGCGUAGAGAUCGGGAGGAAUACCAGUGGCGAAGGCGGCCUUCUGGACUGACACUGACACUGAGGUGCGAAAGCGUGGGUAGCAAACAGGAUUAGAUACCCUUGUAGUC
This 465-nucleotide ribosomal RNA is filed under the name Vreelandella stevensii. RNAcentral's name for it is "partial 16S ribosomal RNA". It matches the Rfam family "Bacterial small subunit ribosomal RNA", at positions 338 to 795 of the family's 1533-position model. Lineage: Bacteria; Pseudomonadati; Pseudomonadota; Gammaproteobacteria; Oceanospirillales; Halomonadaceae. The record is from RNAcentral.